Molecule: ribosomal RNA, 615 nt
Filed under: uncultured bacterium
Lineage: Bacteria
Description: bacterial SSU rRNA
Rfam family: Bacterial small subunit ribosomal RNA
Source: RNAcentral
AGUCGAACGGCAGCACAGCAGUAGCAAUACUGUGGGUGGCGAGUGGCGGACGGGUGAGGAAUACAUCGGAAUCUACCUUGUCGUGGGGGAUAACGUAGGGAAACUUACGCUAAUACCGCAUACGACCUACGGGUGAAAGCGGCGGACCGCAAGGCGUCGCGCGAUUGGAUGAGCCGAUGUCCGAUUAGCUAGUUGGCGGGGUAAGAGCCCACCAAGGCGACGAUCGGUAGCUGGUCUGAGAGGAUGAUCAGCCACACUGGAACUGAGACACGGUCCAGACUCCUACGGGAGGCAGCAGUGGGGAAUAUUGGACAAUGGGCGCAAGCCUGAUCCAGCCAUGCCGCGUGUGUGAAGAAGGCCUUCGGGUUGUAAAGCACUUUUGUUGGGGAAGAAAAGCUUUCGGUUAAUACCCGGGAGUUCUGACGGUACCCAAAGAAUAAGCACCGGCUAACUUCGUGCCAGCAGCCGCGGUAAUACGAAGGGUGCAAGCGUUACUCGGAAUUACUGGGCGUAAAGCGUGCGUAGGUGGUUCGUUAAGUCCGUCGUGAAAGCCCCGGGCUCAACCUGGGAAUGGCGAUGGAUACUGGCGGGCUAGAGUGCGGUAGAGGAGAGUGG